ACGAACGCUAUCGGUAUGCUUAACACAUGCAAGUCGGACGGACUAAUUAGGGCUUGCUCCAAUUAGUUAGUGGCAGACGGGUGAGUAACACGUGGGAAUCUGCCCAUCAGUACGGAAUAACUUUUAGAAAUAAAAGCUAAUACCGUAUAUUCUCUACAGAGGAAAGAUUUAUCGCUGAUGGAUGAGCCCGCGUCAGAUUAGGUAGUUGGUGAGGUAACGGCUCACCAAGCCGACGAUCUGUAGCUGGUCUGAGAGGAUGAUCAGCCACACUGGGACUGAGACACGGCCCAGACUCCUACGGGAGGCAGCAGUGGGGAAUAUUGGACAAUGGGCGAAAGCCUGAUCCAGCAAUACCGAGUGAGUGAUAAAGGCCCUAGGGUUGUAAAGCUCUUUUAGCAAGGAAGAUAAUGACGUUACUUGCAGAAAAAGCCCCGGCUAACUCCGUG
This 446-nucleotide ribosomal RNA is filed under the name uncultured bacterium. Its description in RNAcentral is "partial 16S ribosomal RNA". It matches the Rfam family "Bacterial small subunit ribosomal RNA", at positions 29 to 507 of the family's 1533-position model. The record is from RNAcentral.